RNAcentral lists this ribosomal RNA (539 nucleotides) under uncultured Geobacteraceae bacterium. Its description in RNAcentral is "bacterial SSU rRNA". It matches the Rfam family "Bacterial small subunit ribosomal RNA", at positions 9 to 526 of the family's 1533-position model. Lineage: Bacteria; Pseudomonadati; Thermodesulfobacteriota; Desulfuromonadia; Geobacterales; Geobacteraceae. The record is from RNAcentral.
GAGUUUGAUCCUGGCUCAGAACGAACGCUGGCGGCGUGCUUAACACAUGCAAGUCGAASGUGAUCCGGAGCUUGCUCCGGUGAAAGUGGCGCACGGGUGAGUAACGCGUGGAUAACCUGCCCUGGUAUCUGGGAUAACAUCUCGAAAGGGGUGCUAAUACCGGAUAAGCCCACGGACUCCUCGGAGUCUGCGGGAAAAGGUGGCCUCUAUUUAUAAGCUACCGUAUCAAGAUGGGUCCGCGUACCAUUAGCUAGUUGGUGGGGUAAUGGCCUACCAAGGCGACGAUGGUUAGCUGGUCUGAGAGGAUGAUCAGCCACACUGGAACUGAGACACGGUCCAGACUCCUACGGGAGGCAGCAGUGGGGAAUUUUGCGCAAUGGGGGAAACCCUGACGCAGCAACGCCGCGUGAGUGAUGAAGGCUUUCGGGUCGUAAAGCUCUGUCAGAGGGGAAGAAAUGAAACGUGCUAAUAUCACGUUUUCUUGACGGUACCCUCAAAGGAAGCACCGGCUAACUCCGUGCCAGCAGCCGCGGUAAUAC